GGAAUAUCAGAACAUAAAGAUUCAGGGAGGAAGCAAACAGCAGCUCACCACAGUGCCAGAACAAAAUGCAAAGAAAAAGACGUGACCAAAGCAACAUUGAGAGGAGAACCAUCUGAAAAACAAAGAACAAGCCACAGGCUAGUGGCUGCAUCUGGUAUGUGAGAGGAUGCUCUUCACCCUCUGCUGUCAUCACACUGUAGACACCAUGAACAGGCAGUGCUACAUGCUGCACAGAGGGCAUUUUCCCUGCCCAUCACCGCAGUAUACUUCUAGCUGAGCACAGUGCUCUCACCCAUAGGUUUUUGAAAUGAUUGAGACAGCAGUGGCUCCUGCAGAGCAUGCAAAAAAGUAGGGGCAGCUCUAAUCCCCUUCAGUGCUUCUGGCUGCAGACCCUCUUCCUGCCCAGCCAGCGCCAGUGCUACCAUCUUCUGUCAACUUUACUCUGGCUCCAGCUGGAUAAAAUGGCUCCAUGAAAAAUUUCACACCAUGAGCCCUUAUGUAGAUUUACAAAGUGACCUGAUAUUCAGCACUGAACAUGUAGUGCCAAGAGAUGUUGUAUGCUUGCUCUGCACUUUCAAAACUCAGGACAUAAAAUAAUGGCUUAAGAAAAAAACACCACAUUUUCAGCAGAACUGAAAAUGCAGAAGGAAUGAGACUAAUGUCCUCUGAGAGUACAAGAAGAUGGAAGGUGUCCUCAAACUGAAAGAAAUCAGACACACAAAUUAAUCGGUGUAGAGGCUUGCUGAAAGAAUAAACCUAAGUAUCAUUGUAUUGCCAUGAUUAAAAAUAGCAAAAGAUAAUGUAUCACUGAA
This is a long non-coding RNA of Pezoporus flaviventris, 812 nucleotides long. RefSeq lists it as uncharacterized. The transcript is spliced from 3 exons. Lineage: Eukaryota; Metazoa; Chordata; Aves; Psittaciformes; Psittacidae. The record is from RefSeq and is a predicted model, not a curated record.